UGGGGAAUCUUGCGCAAUGGGGGAAACCCUGACGCAGCGACGCCGCGUUCGGGAUGAAGGCCUUCGGGUUGUAAACCGCUUUCAGCAGGGACGAGGCCUUAUGGUGACGGUACCUGCAGAAGAAGCUCCGGCUAAAUACGUGCCAGCAGCCGCGGUAAUACGUAUGGAGCAAGCUUUAUCCGGAUUCAUUGGGCGUAAAGCGCUCGUAGGCGGUCUGUUAGGUCGGCAAGUUAAAUCCGGGGGCUCAACCCCCGUCCGCUUCCGAUACCGGCAGACUUGAGUUUGGUAGGGGAAGGUGGAAUUCCUAGUGUAGCGGUGGAAUGCGCAGAUAUUAGGAAGAACACCGGUGGCGAAGGCGGCCUUCUGGGCCAUAACUGACGCUGAGGAGCGAAAGCUAGGGGAGCGAACAGG
This 411-nucleotide ribosomal RNA is filed under the name Verrucomicrobiota bacterium. RNAcentral describes it as "Verrucomicrobia bacterium partial 16S ribosomal RNA". It matches the Rfam family "Bacterial small subunit ribosomal RNA", at positions 355 to 776 of the family's 1533-position model. The record is from RNAcentral. Lineage: Bacteria; Pseudomonadati; Verrucomicrobiota.